Molecule: long non-coding RNA, 4181 nt
Filed under: Ananas comosus (pineapple)
Lineage: Eukaryota; Viridiplantae; Streptophyta; Magnoliopsida; Poales; Bromeliaceae
Description: long non-coding RNA (ACOM_LNC000003)
Source: RNAcentral
UUGGAAAGAAUUGCAACUAUAUCAUACUUUUAUUGUUGUUUUAGUGCAGUUGUAAAGCCCUGUAAAAGCUGGGACUUUGGCUUCUGGUGCUACUAUCACUGAUAUUUCACCUGUUGUGUGAUCUUUGGUCAUCUUUUCGUUGUUCCUCCCGCUAAUCCGCUAUAUCAUGCUAACAGCCUAAUUAGUAUACACCCAUAAAAAAAAAAAUUUACUUCAACGGUGCUUAAUCCUGGGGAUACCCUUUCGAGUUUUCAAAAAGAGGCCCAAAUUUCGUGCUUGGGCUUUUCUUAUUUGACAAAUGGCCCAAAGACCUCUCUCGCGAUCUCUGCCGACUCCUCCCCCCUCGCGCCUCCUCGAUUGCGCCGCCCUCCGUUCGAGUCCCAAGGAGAUGGAGAUAGAUUGGCCACCGAUGGACGGCGGCCCCUUCUGCAGCCGCGCAACUGCGGUCCCGACUACGGCGAGGAUGGUUCGUGAGGGUGCCCAUGGAGCACUUUGGGAAGACGGUCAGGGCGAACCAACGGUGCACGGAGGAGGAGGUCUCAGCUGUCCUCUCCGGCGUGGAGCUGGCCUCAGCCGACGACUCCAUGUCCACGGAGGACGCUGUUACCCACCUCACCUCCUGCCUCCAGGUGCUCGCCGUCGACGUCUAAGGAAGAUCAAGAACCCCCUCGGGCCCCUGCCGGAGCACGGCCGGAUUCAGUUCCAUCAGUUCCAUUGACUCAACAUCAAGAACGACUCCCGACUCGAGGGCCUCAUCAAGAUGUCAGAUCCGGUGAGCUCCUCGCCUUCCUUCUCUCUCUCUCUCUCUCUCUCUCUCUCUCUCUCUCUCUCUCUCUCUCAUUUGCUGCCCGGCCGACAGGUCACCUCGUGAUCCCUUUUCUCUCCUCUUUCUCCGGAUGUCUACAGCGACAAGAUCAAGCACCUCCUCGAGCCCCCGCCAGAGCACGGCCGGAUCCAGUUCCACCAACUCAACAUCAAGAACGACUACCGACUCAAGGGCCAUCAAGAUGUUGGAUCUGGUAAGCUCCUCGCCUUCUUUCCUCCUUCCUCUUUCUCCGGAUUCAUUCUUAUUUGCUUCCUCACCCAAUUUAAUAUUUUUACAAAAGUCACUUUGUACUUAAAAAUGCAUUUUCAUUCAUCACGUUCAUAUGCUCUUAAAGCAUAAUUUUUCAAUAAUAAAAAUAAAACUUGGCUGAAUACUAGUUUAUAAGUUCAAGCGUGCCAUGCAGCAAUCGUGAUCUAGCGUUGGCUUAAAGAUUAGUUGAGAAAAAGAAAGCACGACCAAAACUAAAUUACAUAUAUCGGGUAUAAUGAUAAUAAUUAAUAAUAAUAAUAUGUAAUAUGUAAUAAGGUAACGAAACAUAAAAAUAUCAUACUUCACACAACAAGUGCAAAAAAUAAAACAAGCAACCAAAAAAUUUUAUCCAUUUGAACUUGCUUUGGACAUUGUCAUGUUUCAUAUUGGGUUUGAAUAUAUCUACCAUAUUAACUGGUAUUCGAUCCACGCAUAUAGGCUUGCAUAACGAAAGGCAAUUUGAUUUUACUUGCCAAAGACGACAAGAUACAAAACUUGACAUGGACAAACUGCGAGGUGUGGAUUUUUAUAGUGCCAAUCAGUAAUGCAAUUAGCCAUUUGUGAAGUGUGAAAAGUUACGUAGAUGACAUGAAUAUUGAGAAGAGUCUUUUAUCGACUCGGGUAUAUACCAUUGUGUAGGCGCUAAGUUGGCAUUUUGAUGAACCUAGUUUUGCUUUGCAUUUGUUUUCUUAGUAGUGCAAUCAAGUAUCAGGGUCCAUUUGGUUUAGUUAUUUGAGUUAGUGUAUGAUUCGAGUCUCAAUUUGAUAAAUUUAUUUAUGAGUUCAUGUGAUUAAGUUGAAUUAUUAAGGGAAUUACAACUGUGCUUAGUAUGUCUUAAUAGUCAAGCUCAUAAUUUCAGUUUAGCGCAUAUUUUAACCAACAUAAUGGUAUUACUUGCUAUUUAGUUGGUGCAUUGUGUUUGGUUAUAUUUGUCAAUUAAAAGACAUGGAAAAAGAGAGGUAUUUGACCCUCUUCAACUGCUUUUAGUUUGCAUUUUGCAGAGUCAUAUGAGUGAUUUAUAUUGCUUAGGAGAAUCUACAUGUAAAAGUGCAAUCAUUUUGGUGGGUAAUGUUGGAUGGAUUUCGAGUACUAUGUUUCUUCAUUUUGCACUCAUUAAAUUUCACAGAAUGGUUUUUUUUUCUUUUCUUUGUUUGUAUUGGAAAGAAUCGCAACUAUAUCAUACUUUUAUUGCUGUUUUAGUGCAGUUGUAAAGCACUCUAAAAGCUGGGACUUUGGCUUCUGGUGCUAUUGUCACUGAUAUUUCACCUGUUGUGUGAUCUUUGCUCAUCUUUUCGUGUUCCUCCCGCUAAUCCGCUAUAUCAUGCUAACAUCCUAAUUAGUAUAAUAUAUUUUGGGUUUUGAUAUAUUUAAAUAGAACAAAGAAAUAGCCAUGCAUUCCAGGAUCUUAAAACCCUAAAUCCUAAACCCUAAACCCUAAACCCUAAAACCCUAAAACCCUAAGCCCCAAGCCCCAAGCCCCAAGCCCCAAGCCCUAAGCCCCAGCCCCAAGCCCUAUUCUUCAACUUUCAUUCUUUUCAUUAUAUUCAAAAAUGAUUUUUUGUGAAAUAUAAUUAGUUUUAAUCAAUUUUCUGUCGUAUAAUAGCAAAAUAAUUUAGUGAAUAGAAAUACUAAUCCUCAUGCAUUAAUUCAACAUACCAAAGGUUUUCCUAAACAUCGAUUAAAGUAGAAUUCAUGGAUAAGUUUCGCCUUAUAAAACCUAAUAUCAUACAAAUAUUAGUAAGUACAUAGUACCACAUCACUAAUCAAAUAAACCUAGAGAAAGUGACAUCCAAGAGAAAGCCGUGAUCUACUUUAAACUGAUGACCUGCUUUAAACUAUGUUACCUAUAUUUCUCCACUUGCGAGGUGUAUGGGACUACUAUUGGGAGCUUUCUCCCAAAGGAUCACCCUUUGCUACAGGUGAUAUUGCCCUCUUUAUUUUUUGUUUGCAAUUGUUUCUCAAACUUUUCCGUUAUGCUCUUAUCUGCACAAAACGAUGAAAAUACGAAAAAAAAAAAUCAAAAAGUCAAGUUGGCUAGUUUUCAUUCCCCCAUUUUCUCGUGAUAACUAAAAAAAAAAUUGAAACUUGCAAGAGCAGUUGCACAUUUGUAAUGGUGUUGUAGAGUUACGUGAUUCCGCAAUAAUGUAUGUUUGGUGUUUGAAUGUGUAUUUAAGCUGGUCCUUGAUCCUAGUCCUAGUGCUAGCUUCUAACAUAGUUUAAAGUGGGUCAUCAGUUUAAAGUAGGUCACUAUUUUCUCUUGGAUAGAGAUAGUGUCACUUUCGCUAUGGUUACUUGAUUAGUCAUGUGGUACUAUGUCUUUACUGUUGGUGAUAAAAUUUUCUCUCUAAAUAAAGCUGUGGAUUUUUUUGUUCAUGAACUGAAUAGGUUCAAUAGUAAAUUUGAUCAACGACAAAAUGUUUCUAACAAAAUUAUUAUAUAUUUCACACUAGGAAGAAUAUAUGAAAGUUGAUUAGACCAAUUGCUUCUCUAGAGGAGCAUAGUUCACAUGUUCAAGAAUUUGAUUGAUGAUAUGUUAAUUAUGUUAUCAUCCAAAAGCAUGAUCAUGAGUUCUAGGACAAUUGAGAUAAUAAAAAAUUGUUUUCAAUGGAUAUUUUCACCUAGCUAUUGAGGACUCCAAUAAAUUGAAUUUGAGGAUGAAAUUUACUUUGGGAUUGGUAGGUGACCUACAAUGUGAUAACAUGUAGUUGAUAAUCGACUUCUUUUCAAGUUGAACUAUAGGAUUAUUUGAUUGGCCCAAAUAUGUGUGUUUGACUAUACAUUGAAUCAAGUGAUAUUGCGGCAUAAUAUUCCGUGCAAAUUUGUGUUGAGAAAAUUUGUAUGAUAUUAGGUUUUAUAAGUAGAAGGUUAUCCAUGAAUUCUACUUUAAUCGAUGUUUAGAAGAACCUUUAGUAUGUUGAAUUAAUGCACAAGGAUUAGAUUUCUAUUCGCAGAAUUUUUAAUAUAAUUUCCUAAUAAGUGUAUGUGUGUUUGAGGAUGCAUUAAUAAAUAUUUUUAUUCUAGGGAUAAUCCACUAUUCUAGGAUAUAGAGAAAUAAAAGAAAUUUUGUGUUUGAUUUGAUAUUUUUUUUAUAUUGCCAAGAUUGCUC